UACAGAGGUUGCAAGCGUUAAUCGGAUUUACUGGGCGUAAAGCGUGUGUAGGUGGUUGUACAAGUCGGUUGUGAAAUCCCUGGGCUUAACCUGGGAACUGCUUCCGAGACUGCACGACUCGAGAUCGGUAGAGGGCGGUGGAAUUUACGGUGUAGCGGUGAAAUGCGUAGAUAUCGUAAGGAAGACCAGUGGCGAAGGCGGGUCUCUGGACAGUUCCUGACGCUGAGGCACGAAGGCCAGGGGAGCAAACGGG
This 253-nucleotide ribosomal RNA is filed under the name uncultured bacterium. RNAcentral describes it as "partial 16S ribosomal RNA". It matches the Rfam family "Bacterial small subunit ribosomal RNA", at positions 524 to 776 of the family's 1533-position model. The record is from RNAcentral.